RNAcentral lists this long non-coding RNA (733 nucleotides) under Oryctolagus cuniculus (rabbit). RNAcentral's name for it is "lncRNA (ENSOCUG00000031034.1)". Lineage: Eukaryota; Metazoa; Chordata; Mammalia; Lagomorpha; Leporidae. The record is from RNAcentral.
AUGCCUCACUCCAGCCCCCUUCCCCUUCUAUCUUCCCACAGGCCACCCAAGCUCCGAUCACCUGGAUCUCCCAGUCAGCUCUCUGAGGCCUCUGGCCCAGCUGAUCUUCAGCACACAUUUGCCACCUGGUGUCUUCGCUGCCCUCAGCAUUGUAGAUUACACAAAGGCCACUCAGCAAACACCUGCGGAACCAGGACUGGAACUCCAGUCUGCCUGACCCCACAAAGCAUUCCACUGCAUCUCCAGCCCCUUGGUCUCUUGGCUAUGCCCACAGUAUCUGUAAGAUAGAGUCUGAGUUAACAAAACCAGAUACAAUGAUCCCUCAUUAUCCACAGGCUUGGUUCCAUGACCACUACAGUUACAAAAAUCUGUAAGUGUCCAAGACCCUUACCUUAAAUGGCAAAUGGGCUGGCAUUGUGCAAUAAUGGCUUAAGUCACCAUUUGGGACACUAGCAAUCCUUACAGUUGCCAGUUUGAGUCCUAAUUGCUCCACUUUCUAUCCAGUUCCCUGCUAAUUCACCUGGGAAAGCAGCAGAAGAUGGCCCAAGUCCUUGGGUCCCUGUCACCCAUGUGGGAGACCUGGAUGAAGCUCCUCGCUCCUGGUUUCAGCCUGGCUCAGCCCUGGCUGUUGCAACCAACUGGGGAGUGAACCAGUCUCUCGGUCUUUCCCUCUCUCUCCUUGUAACUCUGACUUUCAAAUAAAUAAAUAAAUCUUUUUUUAAAUGGCGUGGUA